This 3183-nucleotide long non-coding RNA is filed under the name Anolis carolinensis (green anole). Its description in RNAcentral is "lncRNA (ENSACAG00000037894.1)". The record is from RNAcentral. Lineage: Eukaryota; Metazoa; Chordata; Lepidosauria; Squamata; Anolidae.
CUUGAGCACGAGCCAAUGCGGCGCCUCCUCCUCCUCCUUCUCCAGCUGCCCGGGUUUUAGCGGGGCUCGCUCGCCUGCCUCCCUCCUUCGGCUCCUCUUCCUCCGGCUGCGGCUCUGCCUCCCGCGGGGGCCAUGCAGUCCCUCAUCUCGCCGGUGACCAAGGCGAUUCUGGUGGCCCUCUUCAUCUUCGCCAUUCUGCUCAUCCUCUACGUGAUCCUCUGGUACAUCUGCCGCGACGUGGACUGCGACCAUGGCAUCUGAGCGGGCAUGCCGGGCCCGGGCUUAGCGCGGUCAGAGAGGGAGAGGGAAAGGGAAAAGGAGAGCUCCCCGCCCCAGAAGUAUUCUCUCCUGACGUUUUGACCACAUCUAUGGCAGGCAUCCUCAGAGGUUGUGAGGUAUGGAUAAACUUAGGCAAGGAAAGGAAAGAAUAUAUAUCUGUGGAGAGUCCAGGGUGUGGCAAGAGUCCUUUGUCACUGGGAAGCCAACAUUAAUGUUUCAGUUAAUCACCCUAAUUAGCAUUGGAAAGAUUUUGUCUCUUGCCUGGGGGGCAUCCUUUGUUCAGUCAUUAGCUGCCCUCUGCCCUCAGAGUGUUAGUUCCCAUCUACUGUUUUGAUUUUAGAGUUUUUUAAUACUGGCAGCCAGAUUUUGUUCAUUUUCAUGGUUUCUUCCUUUCUGUUGAAGUUGUCCACAUGCUUGUGGAUUUCAAUGGCUUCUCUGUGUUGUCUGACAUGAUAGCUGUUGGAGUGGUCGAGCAUUUCUGUGUUCUCAAAUAAUAUACUGUGUCCAGGCUGGUUCAUCAAGUGCUCUGCUAUGGCUGAUUUCUCUGGUUGAAUUAGUCUGCAGUGCCUUUCAUGUUCUUUGACUCUUGUUUGGGCGCUGCGUUUGGUGGUCCCUAUGUAGACUUGUCCACAGCUACAUGGUUUCCGGUAGACUCCUGCAGAGGAGAGAGGAUCCCUCUUGUCUUUCGCUGACCCCUCUGAACCCCCCCCCCCCUCUCUCUCACACAUAUAUGUUGAUGAAAAGCUAGGAUAGAUUUUCUGUGUGCUUUCUUGAGUUCUUUGAAGGAAAAGAAAAACAGAAAAGUAAUUCGUAAUUGAUAUAAAUGUCCUAAAAACCAUUAGCUAUAAUUCAGGCUUUGUCAGAGCAAAGGACAUGCUAACUUCUUUCUAGACAGAGGCUUUCAUGUCUUUCACAGCUAUCUAUAGCAGAGAAAUGGUUCAGGUUCAGGUUUUGGUUUUUCCAUGUUGUAGCAUUAGUAACACUUGUUGAACUUUUCCCUUUUAUUCAGUUUCUAAAUGCACAGAAGUAAAAGAGUUGGCAAUUUGCCUUUUCGUGGUCAGUGGUCAGUGUAUAAAUCAGAAGCAGAAAGAAGAACUAGGCUUUGAAAUGCAAACGUGAACUUUAAAUUCUGCUUUAAACAUCUUUUCUGUUUUAUAUGUACGCAGGCUUGGUAAGACGUCAAUCCUUAUAUAAUCUGAAACUGCUGUAAAAAGGAUUAGAGCUACCAUACAUUGAAGCAUACCAUUUUAUUCGAACUUUCUCAUACUGCUACUCAGUACUAUAACCUGUGUUAUAUCCACCACUAUUAGUAUUUGGGUAAAUGCGAAUAGUUACAGGAAAUACAAGCAAUGAAGAAUAAUGAAUAGCUUUGUGUUUUUCAAUCUAAAUCUAUCUAAUCUAAUCAAUCUAAAUCUAAAUCUAAUCUAAAUCUAAAUCCAUAAUAAAAGCGAAAACCCGUAUGUGUGUAUGUGGCACGGAUGUCUGCUCACACAGACAGCCUCCGGCCUCCACAAACAGGCUAUACUUCCCACUCCUGAGAACCCAGCAAGUCACUCUUUUCCACCCUCAUGACCUACUGAACAUACUGCAGGUAUUUGUGGGAACGGACCUUGAUUUUGGGAGUUGUAGUUCACCUCCAUCCAAAGACCACUGAACCCAGCCAAUGAUGAAUCUAGACCAAACUUGGCACACAGACUGAAUAUUGCCUGCUGUGGAUACUGAUAGAUAUUUCGGGGCAAUUAGCCCGGGAAUCUGGAAAUUGCAGUAGUUCACCCCCAUCCAGAGAGUACUGCACCACACCUGGUACACAUGCCCAAAAUGUAUAAUACUAGCAGGGUUUCAGGAGGAUUCAGCCACGAUUCUGGGAAUUGUAGUUCAUCCACUCCAAACACAAAACAUAACAUUAAAAGACAAAUACGUAAUACCAUUCUCAAAUGACCCGGGCAUCGCCGGGUCCCCAAGCUAGUAUAUAAUAAAGGGAAAAUUUGGCUUUCAGCAGUUAUAUUUAGAAUAUUAAAUACCUAAGUAUAUUAGGCAGUAGUCCUAGGCAAAUUUACACUAGGGAGUAAGUCUCACUUUAGUCAGCAGAAAAUACUCCUGAGUAUAUGCUUGAGAUUGGACCGUUACGUAUCUAGUGUGCAGUCCUAUCCUGAUCAAACAGUUGCAAAGCAUCAACUAAUUUAAUUGUAGCAGGACUGUAGCUCUUCUGACAAAUUUUUAGUACACAUGCCAUUCAUUGUUAUCUUUUUGAUUAAGAAGUGGAGGAUUUGUUGGAAACACUAACUUUGAGUGAGUCACAUAUUCUCAGUAUCAGAAAACAACGUAAUAGAUUCACUUUAGGGUCAUCAUAAGUCAGAAAUGGUAUGACUGCAGCCCUUCUGACUGUAGUAACAGAUUAAACACAUCGAAAUGCAUAUAACAAAUACCAUAGUUCCAUUUAUUUCAGUGGGUCUUCUAUGGGUCAGAUUACACUAUGUAACACAAUUUGAAAAAAGUAUGUUCCUGGUUUUAAGUGGUUAUUUUUUGUUUAACUGUGUGGUACUUAACUUUAAAAGUACUGUAGUUGUUAUACUCCAGAAGCUUUUUUUCUGUGACUGUCACAAACUAUGUUGGAUUAGUUGAGACUCUAUGAGAUAUUCAUUGAAAAACUAUUAGCAAAAUGUGCUGCAGGAUGUUUUGCAAAAACAAAAUUUUUGCAGUUUAAUAAACUUUGUCAUGUUUUUAUAACAGAACCAAUUACGAAAUGACAAUAACCCAGGAACAAAAAUCAUGGUACAUAGUGUUAUUGUUAAAUUAAGGCUCAUAGCAAGAAAAUUAGUAAUGCUGGCACAUUCUUUUCUUAAAAUGCCUUGCUAGAAGUAUUUUGUCUUUAAGUCUUUAAUAAAAUCCCAUACCUAAAACUUG